AACAUUGGACAAUGGGCCCAAGCCUGAUCCAGCCAUGGCGCGUGUGGGAUGAAUGCCCUAGGGAUGUAAAGCUCUUUCACCGUCGCAGGUAAUGACGGGUGUCGGAUAAGAAGCCCCGGCUAACUUCGUGCCAGCAGCCGUGGUAAUACGAAUGGGGCUAGCGUUGUUCGGAAUUACUGGGCGUAAAGCGCACGUAGGCGGAUCAGUCAGUUAGGGGUAAACUACCAGGGCUAAACCCAGGAAAUGCCUUUAAUACUGCAGGUCUUGAGUUAGAGAAAGAUGAGUGAACUUCCGAGUGUCGAGGUGAAUUUCGUAGAUAUUCGGAGGAACACCAGUGGCGAAGGCGGCUCACUGGCUCGAUACUGACGCUGAGGUGCGAAAGCGUGGGGAGCAAACA
This 397-nucleotide ribosomal RNA is filed under the name uncultured bacterium. RNAcentral describes it as "partial 16S ribosomal RNA". It matches the Rfam family "Bacterial small subunit ribosomal RNA", at positions 360 to 774 of the family's 1533-position model. The record is from RNAcentral.